AAUAGAGAUAUGGCAAUGGCUGCUAUAAACUCUCUGAGUGGAAAUUAUACAAUGAGGGGGUGCGAUCAACCUUUAACUGUUCGGUUUGCUGACCCCAAGAGACCUAAACCUGGAGAACAACCUAGAGGUGGUGGGCCAGCUUUUGGUGGACCUGGUGUUGGACCUCGCUUCCCAACACCUGGGAUUAGACCACCACCUAAUAUUGGCGAGCCUGUGCAAGGACAAGUUGGUCCUAAUGCUUGGCGUCCUAUGAGCCCUGAAGGUUUCAGGCCAGUUUCCAACCAAGGGAUGCAUGGUUUUGGAAAUCAAUUUCCUCCUAGAUCCACUGAUACCACAGUGCCUUCUGCUUUGGGUGGCUCCUUCAGGAGUGUUAAUGGCACUGG
RNAcentral lists this unclassified non-coding RNA (383 nucleotides) under Hevea brasiliensis (rubber tree). The record is from RNAcentral. Lineage: Eukaryota; Viridiplantae; Streptophyta; Magnoliopsida; Malpighiales; Euphorbiaceae.